This is an RNA transcript of Triticum aestivum (bread wheat), 718 nucleotides long. It is a transcript of the gene named light-harvesting complex-like protein OHP1, chloroplastic, with no coding region annotated. The transcript has 5 exons. The record is from RefSeq and is a predicted model, not a curated record. Lineage: Eukaryota; Viridiplantae; Streptophyta; Magnoliopsida; Poales; Poaceae.
GGUUGUGCUCCGCAACCAAGCCAGCCAGCCAGCCAGCCUCUCGACCGCUCGUUCGCCAGUCCACUCUCGUGUCCUUUCUCUACCUCAGCCGUUGCAUCGCAGCCCCAGCCUGCUCUUCUUCCUCCCCCUUACCAAACUCUCCGUAGUGCCGUGGUUAAUCAGUGUGCAGCAAUGGCCGUGGCCUCCAUGCUUCAUGCGCCGUCUCUCCUGGCAGUCCAACCCUUCGGCGGACAGAGGAAUGCUGCCAGCGCUAACCGCUCACCGAGAGCGGCGGCUUUCAGGGUUCAGGCAGCCAAGCUUCCUGCCGGAGUCCAGGUGCCAAAGGCGCAACCCAAGCUGAGUGAGCCGUUCCUGGGGUUCACCAAGACCGCGGAGGUGUGGAACUCCAGGGCCUGCAUGAUGGGCCUCAUCGGGACCUUCAUCGUGGAGCUGAUAUUGAACAAAGGUGUUCUUGAGAUAAUCGGUUUCGAAGUGGGGAAAGGCCUCGAUAUUCCUUUGUAGUCUGCUCUCCCUCCUUGCCUAUGGGAUAUUGAUACUAAGAGCCACAUGAAAAGAUGAUAGUCUGCUGUUUUUCAAAGCGAAUGGUUUGGGGGCGACUGAAGUGUCAAACCUGUUGGAUAUUUAUUGCGGGGCGUCUGGUCAGAUGUAGGCUCAUCUGCAACUGGAGCCUUCAAAUAUUUAAAGGAUAGACUUUGGAACCAGGUUAAAGGAUGGAUUG